CAGUUCGGAUCGCAGGCUGNAACCCGCCUGCGUGAAGUCGGAAUCGCUAGUAGUCGCGGAUCAGCAUGCCGCGGUGAAUACGUUCCCGGGCCUUGUACACACCGCCCGUCACACCAUGAGAGUCGGGAACACCCGAAGUCCGUAGCCUAACCGCAAGGAGGGCGCGGCCGAAGGUGGGUUCGAUAAUUGGGGUGAAGUCGUAACAAGGUACC
RNAcentral lists this ribosomal RNA (212 nucleotides) under uncultured bacterium. RNAcentral's name for it is "partial 16S ribosomal RNA". It matches the Rfam family "Bacterial small subunit ribosomal RNA", at positions 1289 to 1500 of the family's 1533-position model. The record is from RNAcentral.